RNAcentral lists this ribosomal RNA (425 nucleotides) under Streptomyces mutomycini. Its description in RNAcentral is "bacterial SSU rRNA". It matches the Rfam family "Bacterial small subunit ribosomal RNA", at positions 18 to 447 of the family's 1533-position model. The record is from RNAcentral. Lineage: Bacteria; Bacillati; Actinomycetota; Actinomycetes; Kitasatosporales; Streptomycetaceae.
CAUGGCUCAGGACGAACGCUGGCGGCGUGCUUAACACAUGCAAGUCGAACGAUGAAGCCCUUCGGGGUGGAUUAGUGGCGAACGGGUGAGUAACACGUGGGCAAUCUGCCCUUCACUCUGGGACAAGCCCUGGAAACGGGGUCUAAUACCGGAUAACACUCUGUCCCUCAUGGGGCGGGGUUAAAAGCUCCGGCGGUGAAGGAUGAGCCCGCGGCCUAUCAGCUUGUUGGUGGGGUAAUGGCCUACCAAGGCGACGACGGGUAGCCGGCCUGAGAGGGCGACCGGCCACACUGGGACUGAGACACGGCCCAGACUCCUACGGGAGGCAGCAGUGGGGAAUAUUGCACAAUGGGCGAAAGCCUGAUGCAGCGACGCCGCGUGAGGGAUGACGGCCUUCGGGUUGUAAACCUCUUUCAGCAGGGAAG